Molecule: long non-coding RNA, 1595 nt
Filed under: Triticum aestivum (bread wheat)
Lineage: Eukaryota; Viridiplantae; Streptophyta; Magnoliopsida; Poales; Poaceae
Description: long non-coding RNA (TAES_LNC006155)
Source: RNAcentral
CGUGAUCGAAGAUCCCGUUGAGUACGAUUACGAGGAUCAAGGCAACUCUAAGAACUUUGUAGGCAAGAUGACCAUACCCUCGAAAUCACUUCUAUCUUUGCUUGCUAGAUGCUCGCUCUUUUGCUAUGCCUAUGCUGCGAUACCUACCACUUGCUUAUCAUGCAUCCCAUAUUGUUAAGCCGAGCCUCUAACCCACCUUGUCCUAGCAAACCGUUGUUUGGCUAUGUUAUCGCUUUGCUCAGCCCCUCUUAUAGCUUUGUCAGUUGCAGGUGAAGACUGGAGUUUGUUCCUUGUUGGAACGUGGAUAUUUUGUUGGGAUAUCACAAGAUCUCUUAUUUAAUUAAUGCAUCUAUAUACUUGGUAAAGGGUGGAAGGCUCGGCCUUAUGCCUGGUGUUUUGUUCCACUCUUGCCACCCUAGUUUCCGUCAUAUCGGUGUUAUGUUCCCGGAUUUUGCGUUCCUUACACGGUCGGGUUAUAAUGGGAACCCCUUGACAGUUUGCUUUGAAUAAAACUCCUCCAGCAAGGCCCAACCUUGAUUUUACCAUUUGCACUAACAACCUAUUACCCCUUCCCUUGGGUCGGCCAACCCAAGGGUCAUCUUUAUUUUAACCGCCCCCCCCCCCGGGCCAGUGCUUGUCUAAGUGUUGGUCCGAAAUGGGUAGCCUGCGGGGCCACCUCGGGGAAAAUUGAGGGCUGGUUUUACUCGUAGCUUGACCUAUCCGGUGUUGCCCUGAGAACGAGAUAUGUGUAGCUCCCAUCAGGAUGUCGGCGCAUCGGGCGGCUUUGCUGGACUUGUUUUACCAUUGUCGAGAUGUCUUGUAACCGGGAUGCCGAGUCUGAUCGGAUUGUCUUGGGAGAAGAAAUAUCCUUCGUUGACCGUGAGAGCUUGUGAUGGGCUAAGUUGGGACACCCCUGCAGCGAUUGAACUUUCGAAAGCCAUGCCCGCGGUUAUGGGCAGAUGGGAAUUUGUUAAUGUCCGGUUGUAGAAAACCUAAACCCUAACAUAAAUAAAACGCAUCAACCGCGUGUGUAGCCGUGAUGGUCUCUUCUCGGCGGGGUCCGGCAAGUGAACACGGUGUUGGAGUAAUGUUUGACAUAGGUUGUUCUAGGAUCACUUAUUGAUCAUAGUUCAUCGAUCAUGCUUUGCCUUAUCUUCUCGCUCUCUUUUGCGUAAGUUAGCCACCACAUAUGCUAGUCGCUUGCUGCAGCUCCACCUCAUAUCUUUUACCCUACCUAUAAGAUUAAAUAGUCUUGAUCGUGAGAUUGCUGAGUCCCCAUGACUCACAGAUACUUCCAAAACCAGUUUGCAGGUGCCGAUGUUACUGAGCAGGUGGCGCAACCAAGCUCAAGGAGGAGCUCGAUGAAGAUCUUGUCCUUUGUGUUGUUUCGUUCUAGUUGAUCAGUAGUGGAGCCCAGUUGGGGUCGAUCGGGGAUCUAUGUAGCAUUUUGGGUAGUCUUCGUUUUAUUUUGGUUUCAUAGUCGGACCUUGUUUGUAUCUGGAUGAUGUAAUGAUUUAUUCAUAUAUUGUGUGAAGUGGCGAUUGUAAGCCAACUAUGUAUCUUUCUCCCUUAUGUAUUACAUGGGUUGUGUGAAG